This 694-nucleotide ribosomal RNA is filed under the name uncultured bacterium. RNAcentral's name for it is "bacterial SSU rRNA". It matches the Rfam family "Bacterial small subunit ribosomal RNA", at positions 32 to 715 of the family's 1533-position model. The record is from RNAcentral.
AACGCUAGCUACAGGCUUAACACAUGCAAGUCGAGGGGCAGCAUGGUCUUAGCUUGCUAAGGCCGAUGGCGACCGGCGCACGGGUGAGUAACGCGUAUCCAACCUGCCUUACACUCUUGGACAGCCUUCUGAAAGGGAGAUUAAUACAAGAUGGCAUCAUGAGUCCGCAUGUUCACAUGAUUAAAGGUAUUCCGGUAGACGAUGGGGAUGCGUUCCAUUAGAUAGUAGGCGGGGUAACGGCCCACCUAGUCUUCGAUGGAUAGGGGUUCUGAGAGGAAGGUCCCCCACAUUGGAACUGAGACACGGUCCAAACUCCUACGGGAGGCAGCAGUGAGGAAUAUUGGUCAAUGGGCGAGAGCCUGAACCAGCCAAGUAGCGUGAAGGAUGACUGCCCUAUGGGUUGUAAACUUCUUUUAUAAAGGAAUAAAGUCGGGUAUGGAUACCCGUUUGCAUGUACUUUAUGAAUAAGGAUCGGCUAACUCCGUGCCAGCAGCCGCGGUAAUACGGAGGAUCCGAGCGUUAUCCGGAUUUAUUGGGUUUAAAGGGAGCGUAGAUGGAUGUUUAAGUCAGUUGUGAAAGUUUGCGGCUCAACCGUAAAAUUGCAGUUGAUACUGGAUAUCUUGAGUGCAGUUGAGGCAGGCGGAAUUCGUGGUGUAGCGGUGAAAUGCUUAGAUAUCACGAAGAACUCCGAUUG